UUUUUUUUUUUUUUUUUAAGAAGAAAGCACCAUGGUUUUCUUUCUUUCUUUUUUUUUUUUUGUGUGUGUGUUUUUGUUUUGUUUUGUUUGGUGGUGGAUAAAUAAUACUAAAAGGAGUCUAGUGAAAAGGGAAAAAAAAAAAAUCAAAGAGCAGGGGUGUUGUGGAUUUCCAGGUACUUGGACUUUUUGUAGAAGGAGAAAGAAGUGGAUGAAGUUUGCUGGGAGGGCCCAUAUUUUUUCAGCUGAAAGGUAAAAUCUUUCUUUGCAGAGACAGUAUUUUGCUGAAUACUUUUUAUAAUGUGAUGAUUAUUAAAAACAAAAAUUUUGGUCACUUCAAAGCUAGAAGGAGGAAUCAGAUAUCCUUUAAUAUUUUUUCCUUGCUCCUUCUGGUAUAUGCAUGUCACUGCAUGAUAACUCUGAGUUUUCCUUUGUUUUAAUAAAACUGUUCUCAGACGUUUAAGCUAAACUAAGAGAAAAAUAACUUUGUUGCCAAAAGGUUGUGCUAUCCAGAUUUUUUAUAUGUCUGCAUGUUUUAAAAAAACACAACAAAAGAAAAUGCACUCUAACUUAUGUGAACUGAGAGAAAAAAAAUCAGGUUUUAAACAGGAAAACCUAUGGGGAAUGAUAUUUUUUGAAAGACUUUUGUAUAAAGUUGAGUACUUAGAAAAAGACAAACCAGAUGUAAUAUAUUUUGUGGAUGUUUUUAUUUCUUGGAUUUAUAGUACCUUAUACUAAGGUUAAAAAAAUAUGCUUGAUAUUGUGAAAAGGUGAAAUUCUUCACCAACAUUUCAUUUGCUCCUUUGUCACAUUGUUAUGCCAAUAUAAUAUAGUUAAUGAAAACAGCAUUUUUAAAAACCGAAAUAUUGAAAUGGUGUAAUGUUGUACCAUUUGCACUGUGAGCAAAUGCUAAUACAGUAAAUAUAUUGUGUUUGCUGACAAUCAGCCGGCCUAUAAAUCUCCUUAUUUUAUUUCUUGUUUUCAUAGCAUAAAGUUUUGGUUUGGCCUGGUUUUUGUCUUGUUUUGUUUUUGGCUGGUGGUUGGAUAGGUUCUUAUGCCUCGUUUUGUGAUUCUUGCUCUGAAACCCCUCAUCGUGGAAAUGUGGAAUCUGGCAUUAUUAGAAGUUGUUCAGAAUUUUGUGCGGGUUCUGGUGUUUCAAAUUCAGUGUUGAGUGUUUACUGUGGUUCUAAGAGAAUUCCACUGUGGUUCUAAGGAUUCUCUUCCAUACUUCUGGGAGCUUCAAACUCCCAGAAAGAGCAGGGGAAUCGGGGCUAGUGACUGGAACCUUCUAGAAUCCUCCUCUCCAGUGGGUAUUUGAGGUUGGAAGGGAAGGGAAUCUCCUGGUUUAUGAACUAUUUAUCUAAUGGUCGCAGGGAGCACCAGAACAGGGCCCAGGAGGAUCUCUGCAGCCACAGUGAAUAGUGCCCCUGCCAGAGCUUUCAAAGCCUGAAAAACAGGUGGAGAAUUGCGAAGGGUUCUUGAGGGUUAGCAAGAUACCCAAAGAGAUGAGUAGCUCUUUUGUGAUCAAAUAAUUGGCAAAAAAAUCAGGUUUACAGGCUCUGCAAGUCAGUUCCCCUUGGACAGGCUUCUCCAGGCCUCACUAUUCACAGCUGCCUGAGAAAGGUGGUCCUGGUUGAAAACACAGCUCUUAUGAACCACCCAAGUGUUCAAUGCUUAGAAGAAAGAACACAGGGACCAUUUUAUAUAGCAGUAAUCCCGCUCAUCUUAUGAUUUUACCCCUCCUAGAAGUGAUACUUCCCUACUCUGUGAGCUUUCUUCUCCAGAACCUUCCUUUGCCCUAACUGGCUUUCUUUGCCAGCCCCAGAGCUUUCUCCAUUUCUCUUAAAGAGAUAUGUACCCUCUACCUCUUCUGUCCACGUCUCUAGCCUGCUCCCUUCCCCUUAUUUCCCACAGUUUUUAGAGUCCUUUAUUUAUCCCUGUAAGCCGUGUUCUAGAACAGUCUUUCUCUCUUGCCUGCCCUCUAAAACACUCACUUGGGUUUCUCUGCCAUGCAUUUUGCAUGUGAUCUGCCUCAGCAACGUUUAGGGGCUUAGUGUACGAUGAUGCAGAGCUGUGUCGGCAUAGCAGGACAUCGUGACUCGGGGGCAGCGCCUCAACACCUGAGCUGCCAGCCAGGCCAGCCAUACUGUGAUAGAAGUGUACUGUGGUGUCCCUGCUCGGAAACUGCUCUUGUCAUACCCCCGACCCCUCCAUGCAGGUCCAUCCUAGUGGAAAAUGUGGGUGGUAUUUCUGGUUGGCUAGAGUUGCUGUGAUAUAGUUGAUGUGAUGUCGAGGGCAGACCCGAGUGGAGGAGUUGGGCUGUGACCCUCGAAAAGAAUGCUUUUGAAGUGAGAGAUCAAUAAGGAGAAUGCGGUAUGCAAUCCGAAAUUUUCUCAUCCACACGGUUCUAGGUCACUGGCUGCCAUCUGGAAUUCCCUUCUCUCGUGUCAUGACACUUUAACGCUCCCAUCUGCAACUUUGUGUAUAGCCAUGAGGAGGUAGCCCCUGAGAGGGAGUCCAAGAUGGCCAAAAAGUCCCAGGGAUGGAGCAUGUCAUAUCCGUCUCCUUGCUAAACUAGAUCUCCCCUUCCAGGUUUCUAUGUGUUUUCAAGUGAAUAUUAUCCGAGGGAGAUAGCAUCACUGGAUGUCUUCGCGGUUAGCACUCAGCCCCACCUGCACCUUCUCCAAGCAGACCCAGCCCUCAGAGUGACACUUUCGUCAGCAGUGUACUAUGCUGCCUGAUUAACAGACUCACUUCCCAUUGGUGCAUAUUACUCAACCCAACCUGGUUUAACCACUGGGUUACUUGGCAAUAUGGCAGCCGCCUGGCUGGCACCAGCCCUGGGUGGUGUAAUCUCUGAUUCACGCUUUGGAGCUAGAUAAGACUGCCCCAGAUAGCAUCACACUGGCAACCCAACCUGCCUGGGUUUUGUAAACAGGUGAGAGGAGACUCAACCCUGAAACUUAGGGGUGAGGUGGGAAGACGGUAGAGGAAAGGCCUGGACGUGGCCAUCAUGAGAAGGAAUCAGUGGAGGGUUGGCGAAGAAGAGGCCCAGGAGCCAAAUCAGAUUGAGUGUGUGUGUGUGUCUGUGUAUUAUUCACAAGUACAUAAAAAGGAAUGAGAAGGUGGAUUCUGGUGAAUGAAGACAAUAGCUUAUGGCCGGUCAUUACUGAUCCCCUUUUGCUAAUCCAGAAUUUGUUGCCAAAGAGGAGGGUUUUAUGAGCUGCGUUUUCCUGCCUUGAUUGGCUCCCCUGGUGUCCUGGGAUAAUAAACCUGGGGAAAGUAGGAGGCCUCCGUAUGUCCCAAAGACUAGCAAUCAUACUGGCAAAAACUUAACGACUAGAGGGACAUGACUUUCGAGAAGGCACGGGGAGGUUCUAAAAAUAGGUCAUAAUCUUAAACCUAUCCCGUGCAUCUUUCUAGAAAACCCAUUCUUUAUGCAGAAAGGAAUGAGGUCUCCAGAAGAAGAGGAAAGAUCUGAGUGACCCUGGGAGCCCCUUGGUCACAGCAGCAUAGCCCUGAGGACAUAGUCACCCCCUGCCCCUGUCAGACUUCUGCCAAGGCCGGGAACGUGUCUGGCCUCAUUAGCUUCCCCCGGCAUCCCAGCUCUUGAAAUUCCACCACUCCUUUUGGUUGAAGCUUCCCAUCUAUACCAUCGCUAAUAUUUUCCACGAUGAUUAUUGUCACAGCCCUGUGCAAGAGAAGAGGUGGGCCGUGGUUGGGGCACAUGCUGUGGGCCUUUCCCCAGCUUGCACUAAAGUCUCUGACAUGCACAGGCCCAAGCAGAAAGGGACCCAACCUUGACUCUCCUGCCUGGGAUCCUCAUUCCUCAUCCUCAUCAUGCUUCAUCUGGGGCAUGGACCUGGAGCCAUCCCUGCCUCCACCCCUGCUAGCCACCAGGGGCACAGCACUCCUCUGCCCCCUGACCUGGGUGUCAAAACACCAUUUCUGGCAAGCACGCGAUGGCUAAAAGGAAGGUUUUGGAGCAAUCUUACUAAGGAAAUAAUGCAAACAGAUCAUGGCCACAAAGCUACACACAAGAAUCUACAAGGUUCUAGAUGGCGCCAGCUACUCAACUAAAUGUGGGGCUGGUUUGCUGAGAUCCUGCUCUGGUCUCCAGGUUUCUGGAUGAAGAAGGCACUCGCUGGGCCUGGAAGUAUAUUUCCUGGAGCUCAGGCACCCUACCCUACUUCUGCAGUCUCCUUCACUCAUUCCUGGGGGCUCCAAGACUACAUCCUCCAGGCGCAUUGCUGCUCCAAUGAUGCUCUCCUUCUGCGUGGAGUGCCAUCACUAGUUCUUUGGGCUGGCCCUCCCCAGGAGGCCUGCCCAGGCCCCACAGUCAUCUUCCCCCUGGACCUUUCAUAGUGGCAUCAUGACCCAACCAGAAACAGAUGCUCUUUUUGGACCCAGCUAGCAGCAGACUUGAAUUCCCUUUGGGGUUACCCACCAAGUUCCUAGGUAGAAGCUCAGAAAUUCUUCCACCUCUCAGCUCCCUGGAGGAAAAGAGAUGACCUGCCUCCCUGAGGCUGGGGACACCCCUACCCUCCAUGGGGAAGUUACCCUUGUCUGUGGACCUGCAUUCUCUGGGGUGACUCACCCCAGGGGUUGACCACCUGCCCGGGAGGGAUCAGGUCUUGGUUUCCAUCAAAGGCAAAGAGAUUAGUGAGUAGAACAGAACUGGGCCUCCAGGAAGGCUGGCUUCUUCUCAAGGAUGGGUUGCUAGAGCUCUGGCACUUUUACUCCCGAGCGUUGUGCCCCUCCAGGUGGUCCAGGUGCCUAAAGGUCUUCCAUUCUUUCUUAUUCCCUUCCUCCCCACAGCUUAGGAAGGCCAAGCCACCCGAGCAGGAAGGUAGAAAAUUUCUGUUUCCUGUGCAACACCAGAGUACUAAGAAAAGCUUUCUUGCGAGUUCUUGGUACUUACUUGGGCCUCUGCCCUGCAAAUUGAGAGGCAGUUUGAUAACCCAGCAGCUACUCCGGCUUCUCCUUUGGGGCCCUUUACCUGCUUUGGAAUCAUCUCCGUCACCUCUAUUCUAGAUCUGAGUCCCAGCUCGGCCACUUUCUUGCAGUGUGACUGUCGGCAUGUUUUUAGUCUCUCUGGACCUCACUUUCCGCUUGUCUGAUCACGGCCCCUGGGGGAGUCAAAUGAGGUGACGUAUAUCGUGCCUGGGUCAGUGUGGAUGCUCCAUAAAGGUUGCUUAUCUUUCUCGUCCCUUGCCCUGCCCCCUCUCCCCAUCCUGCAAACACAGAUGUGAGAAAGAGGGCUCUGUCUCUACCAGCCAGAGGCCCUUGCCAUCCUCACGACCACACCCAACCCCAGCCCCCCACUGGACAUCUGUGUUCUUAAAAUGGGUCUGCUCUACCCCCCCAAUGCCCCCUUCCCCGAUCUACCCAGAGGACAUGAGUCCUGUCCCCUCUUGGCCACAGCUACUGCUCAUUGUGGCCAUUUCCUGGCCUGGUUCCUGACUCCUUCCCAGCUCCUUUUGUCUCUCUCACUUGGUUGGGUGGAUGUAACACCUUCCUGAUCCAGUAUCAUCUGCAAAGUUAGUUAAUGUGUCAUUGGGCUGUUGCCUGCUUCCUGAUCCUUAUCAGAGAUUUAAAUAAAACGCAGCAGCCCCAGCUCUUCCCUGAUCAUCCCUCACCCCGGAUCUGAGGCUUGUUCUUAGUCAUCCAGUCCCUGACCUCAACCUUCUGGCCAGUUCUCAGCUUCCAGCCCCAGGGCUUGUGGCACUGCCUCCACCCAACCCUAGUUCAGGAGCAGAAGCGCCACCCAGGGUUUUGACGGCAGUGGUGUUCUAUGAGAGAAUCGGGAAUGUCGGGGUCCUUACAGCAUCCUGCCCCCUUGGGCAGCUUCCCCUAGAUUUUGUAGAGUCACAGGGGACCUUGAGAGGCCACUUAGUCCAAUGUACUCCUUUUCAGGUCAGGAAAUAGAGGCCUCCAGAAGUCCCAUGAUUUGCCCAAAAUCCCACAUCCAGUAAAGGCAGAGCCAGGAUUUCAGAUCCAGACUCUCAGUGGAGGGUCCCCUAGAAAGGGGGCUGAUGGCUUUAUGUACAUACAUAUGUGUUGAAGGAUACGGUGGUGAACGGCGACAGCAAAAAUCCCUCCAUUUUCCAAGACCCUCUUCACCAGGGCAGACACGGGUAAAAACAAACAGGCAGAAUCGUCUGCUGUCACAUUAUGCUAUGUGUCAUGGGGAAAAAUGCAGCAGAGUAAGAAUGGGGAGUGGUGGCUUGCAGGUUACAGUAACACGUUGGAUGGCACAGGGCAGCCUCAGGGGGAAGGGUCCUUUGUGCACGGACACCAGAAGUGAUGGAGCUGGCCACGCCUGGACCUCUGGGCCACAGCGCCAGGCAGAGGGGGCAGCGAGUGUCAAGAUCCUGACCGUGGUGUUCUGGGACUUUUCAAGGAAUCACGUGGCGCUGAGUGAUUGGAAGCAAGCGAGGAAAGGGAUCCGCCAGAGGAAGCAGUUGGAAAGGCAGAGGGCCCAGAUCACAGAGAAAGUAAACAAACUGCAAAGACGGAUGGUCAGAGAGGGCCUCUCCCGAUCUCCAGGGACAGCCAUGACCUGGCCCUGGGCUGAGGGGCCGUGGGACAGGCGCCCUCUCCCUCUGCCCAGGCUGCCUCUCCUGUCGGCCUUCAAACCCCACUUUCUCUGCUUGGCUUCCUCAUCACCCUGGCUGCAGGCUUCUUAACCUUUCCUCCAUGUCCUCUCAGAGGCCCACGAUGGUCCCUAAACUCCAGCUCAUCCAAGGAGAGACAGAACAGCCUCCUUCGAGAACCACAGCCUGAGAACGAACCCUUACGCUUGCUGUUGACAUUUGCCUUGGUGCCAAGGUCCUAAUAAGACGGCUGACUCUUCCUGCUGCCCAGCCUCAGAAUGGGAAUCUCCCUUGGCCUUAUGUCUCAGAAACUGCUCCUGAAAGCCAGCUCCCUCCUUCAUCUGUGGCUGGAUUGGCCAUGUUUCCUGCCUUGGCGAAGAGCUGGCAGAAGGCCGGCUUCCUCCAAGAUGGUCAUAUUCUCACCCCUGUCCCAGCCUUGACCAUGCAAGAGGGGAUGGUCUUGAAAUCAUUUCAUCUACAGUCUCCCCUGCCACAAGCUCCGUUUCCCCGCAGUGUUGCAAAUCUUAGUCUUGGAGCAUCCUUUCUAUAUGUUAGUCUAAGCGGUUUCAUUCCAGAGGAGAAAUGUGUCUUCCCUCUGCCUUUUUUUGGUGCUCCACUUCAUGUCUUUCCAAAAGCCCCCCUCAGUCUCUGUCUUUCGUGGCAACUUGGCAUCAUCCAGAACUUCUCUGCAUCGCAUUCAUUUAUCCACCGAUUUAGCAAAACUGUAUUAAGCCAGGCCCAGUGCCUGCCCUGGGGAGGGGAGGGGAGGAACAGGCAAUACAAACACGCCCAGGACAUGGUCCCUGCCCUCAAGGAUCUUCCAUUCUGCCAAGGGAGAGGCAGACACAGAGACGGACAGUUUUGGAGUUCCCAUUGUGGCUUGGUGGUAAUGAGCCUGACUAGUAUCCAGGAAGAUGCAGGCUUGAUCCCUGGCCUUGCUCAGUGGGUUAAGGAUCCGGUGUUGCCGUGAGCUGUGGUGUACAUCGCAGUCGUGGCUCGGAUCCCACAUUGCUGUGGCUAUGGUAUAGACCAGCAGCUGCAGCUGCCAUUUGACCCCUAGCCUGGGAACUUCCAUAUGCCAUGGGUGCGGCCCUAACAAGACGGACAGGCAGGCAGGCAGACAAGAAGGCAGGCUGGCAGGCAGGCAAGAUAGGAGAAAGAAAAAGAA
Molecule: long non-coding RNA, 7761 nt
Filed under: Sus scrofa (pig)
Lineage: Eukaryota; Metazoa; Chordata; Mammalia; Artiodactyla; Suidae
Description: lncRNA (ENSSSCG00045034852.1)
Source: RNAcentral